This 492-nucleotide ribosomal RNA is filed under the name uncultured bacterium. RNAcentral describes it as "partial 16S ribosomal RNA". It matches the Rfam family "Bacterial small subunit ribosomal RNA", at positions 29 to 507 of the family's 1533-position model. The record is from RNAcentral.
AGUGAACGCUGGCGGUAGGCCUAACACAUGCAAGUCGAACGGCAGCACAGUAAGAGCUUGCUCUUACGGGUGGCGAGUGGCGGACGGGUGAGGAAUACAUCGGCAUCUACUUUUUCGUGGGGGAUAACGUAGGGAAACUUACGCUAAUACAGCAUACGACCUACGGGUGAAAGCAGGGGAUCAUCGGACCUUGCGCGAUUGAAUGAGCCGAUGUCGGAUUAGCUAGUUGGUGGGGUAACGGCCCACCAAGGCGACGACCCGUAGCUGGUCUGAGAGGAUGAUCAGCCACACUGGAACUGAGACACGGUCCAGACUCCUACGGGAGGCAGCAGUGGGGAAUAUUGGACAAUGGGCGCAAGCCUGAUCCAGCCAUACCGCGUGGGUGAAGAAGGCCUUCGGGUUGUAAAGCCCUUUUGUUGGGAAAGAAAAGCAGCAGGUUAAUACCCCGCUGUUCUGACGGUACCCAAAGAAUAAGCACCGGCUAACUUCGUG